UACGUAGGCAGCGAGCGUUGUUCGGAAUUACUGGGCGUAAAGAGUGUGUAGGCGGUGCUCUAAGUUCGGUGUGAAAUCUCCUGGCUUAACUGGGAGGGUGCGCCGGAAACUGGGGUGCUCGAGCGUGGGAGAGGAAAGCGGAAUUCCUGGUGUAGCGGUGAAAUGCGUAGAUAUCCGGAGGAACACCAGUGGCGAAGGCGACUUUCUGGCCUGUUCUUGACGCUGAGGCGCGAAAGCUAGGGGAGCAAACGGG
This 253-nucleotide ribosomal RNA is filed under the name uncultured bacterium. RNAcentral describes it as "partial 16S ribosomal RNA". It matches the Rfam family "Bacterial small subunit ribosomal RNA", at positions 524 to 776 of the family's 1533-position model. The record is from RNAcentral.